GCUUGAGAACAUUCCAUGGUGGAAAGUGCAGAAAAGCCCUCAGAAGGUAAACAGUGUUAGGUCUAGUUAGUACUUGGAUGGGAAACCACCAGGAAAUCCCUGGUCCGCAGGCU
Molecule: ribosomal RNA, 113 nt
Filed under: Salvator merianae (Argentine black and white tegu)
Lineage: Eukaryota; Metazoa; Chordata; Lepidosauria; Squamata; Teiidae
Source: RNAcentral